This 107-nucleotide small RNA is filed under the name Vicugna pacos (alpaca). RNAcentral describes it as "7SK RNA (ENSVPAG00000017928.1)". It matches the Rfam family "7SK RNA", at positions 1 to 108 of the family's 331-position model. Rfam says of the family: 7SK was discovered as an abundant small nuclear RNA in the mid-70s but a possible function has only recently been suggested. Two independent studies have found that 7SK RNA binds the CDK9/cyclin T complex (known as elongation factor P-TEFb). The record is from RNAcentral. Lineage: Eukaryota; Metazoa; Chordata; Mammalia; Artiodactyla; Camelidae.
GGGUGUGAGAGUGAUCUGGCUGAAACAUCUGCCAUUCCAUUGAUUGCCAGGCUGGCUUCAUUAGUUCUGGCUGACUAGGCUAGGGUCUCCUUCUUCCUUACCUCUCC